Long non-coding RNA from Lucilia sericata (common green bottle fly), 1071 nucleotides. RefSeq lists it as uncharacterized. Lineage: Eukaryota; Metazoa; Arthropoda; Insecta; Diptera; Calliphoridae. The record is from RefSeq and is a predicted model, not a curated record. The transcript is spliced from 3 exons.
UUCCACCUCAAUAAAUUCCACAAUGUCAACAAUAUCGUCAUAAUGAGUAUGUACUCCACUGGUGGAUUCGCAAAGAUGAUGUGAAAUAUUUUUAAUUUGUUUUUGAUUACAGUAAAUAAUCAAGAAAUAAAUCGCCAUCAUUAAAUAGCAACACAUUGCUCUGACACUUGAUGUCUUGGCAACAAUAACAACAACAAUUAUAAUGUAUAGUAAGUUUGGGGAGGGGAAAACAGAAAUGUGUUGGUUUUAAAAGGCAUUUAAUAGAUUGAGUCUAUAUAAAACAUUAAAACAACAAUGACAAGGGAAAUGAAUUGAAAAUGAAGUAGGAGGACAUUUGACUAAAUAUUUAUAUUUAUACAAGGACUUGCAAUUGCAAGACAUACUAAAGUCUACUCACACCCUCUCCUCUCUUACACCAACAAGCAACUACAUACUCAAGGACAGACACUUUGAAAGGACACUUGAAAAGACGUUAAGUUUGUAUAAUAUUUAAAAAAAAGUAAAAUAGAAACAGAGAAAGAAAAAUACAAUACACAAGAAAAAGAAUUAAAGUUCAAAGGAAUUGCAGAAAUGAAAGACAAGCCAGUGAAGUAAAAUAAAAUGAAAUGUAAGUACAGUGAAGUAAAUAAAAAAUACUUCUUUUCUGUAAUUUUAAUGCAGAAAAAACAACAACAAAUGAAAUUAUAAAACAAAAUGUUAAAAAGCAUAAAACGAAAUAAAAAUAUAGAAACUCAAGAAAUGAAGUGUGUUUGUUGUUUGUAUGACGGCACGCUAAGUCAACAUAAUUAAAGCAAUCAAGUAUGACUUCAAGUAGAAAGUUAGCCCUUAGACAAAUUGGUCUUUAGCUUAGAAAAAACAACAGCAACAGCAGCAAUAUACAACCUAACAGCUAAAAUAUCUAAAAAAAUAUACAUACAAAUGUUUAACUAAAUGCCGCUGCCAUAGUAAGAGAUUGCGUGGUUAAAAUUCUUUAUGUUAAACGAAGAACUGUAACUUCCAUAUUUUUCACUAAGCACAAAGAAUGACGAACUGCUUGAAUGGCAGAGGUUUACUUUGUUUUUUUAAUGAAAA